CACGGUAAACGAUGGAUGCCCGCUGUUGGCGAUACAGUGUCAGCGGCCAAGCGAAAGCGUUAAGCAUCCCACCUGGGGAGUACGCCGGCAACGGUGAAACUCAAAGGAAUUGACGGGGGCCCGCACAAGCGGAGGAACAUGUGGUUUAAUUCGAUGAUACGCGAGGAACCUUACCCGGGCUUGAACUGCAGCAGAACGAUUCAGAGAUGAUGAGGUCCUUCGGGACUGCUGUGGAGGUGCUGCAUGGUUGUCGUCAGCUCGUGCCGUGAGGUGUCGGCUUAAGUGCCAUAACGAGCGCAACCCUUUUCUUCAGUUGCCAUCAGGUGGAGCUGGGCACUCUGGAGACACUGCCACCGUAAGGUGUGAGGAAGGUGGGGAUGACGUCAAAUCAGCUCGGCCCUUACGUCCGGGGCUACACACGUGUUACAAUGGGGAGUACAGAGAGUCGAGUGCCGGCAACGUCACUCCAAUCGUGAAAGCUCUCCUCAGUUCGGAUUGGGGUCUGCAACCCGACC
Molecule: ribosomal RNA, 515 nt
Filed under: uncultured bacterium
Lineage: Bacteria
Description: bacterial SSU rRNA
Rfam family: Bacterial small subunit ribosomal RNA
Source: RNAcentral